CACCUACGGGUGGCAGCAGUGAGGAAUAUUGGACAAUGGGCGCAAGCCUGAUCCAGCCAUGCCGCGUGCAGGAAGACGCAUCUAUGGUGUGUAAACUGCUUUUGUACGGGAAGAAACACUCCUUCGUGAAGGAGCUUGACGGUACCGUAAGAAUAAGGAUCGGCUAACUCCGUGCCAGCAGCCGCGGUAAUACGGAGGAUCCAAGCGUUAUCCGGAAUCAUUGGGUUUAAAGGGUCCGUAGGCGGUUUAGUAAGUCAGUGGUGAAAGCCCAUCGCUCAACGAUGGAACGGCCAUUGAUACUGCUAGACUUGAAUUACUAGGAAGUAACUAGAAUAUGUAGUGUAGCGGUGAAAUGCUUAGGUAUUACAUGGAAUACCAAUUGCGAAGGCAGGUUACUACUAGUGGAUUGACGCUGAUGGACGAAAGCGUGGGGAGCGAACAGGAUUAGAUACCCUGGUAGUCCACGCCGUAAACGAUGGAUACUAGCUGUUCGGAGCAAUCUGAGUGGCUAAGCGAAAGUGAUAA
RNAcentral lists this ribosomal RNA (525 nucleotides) under uncultured bacterium. RNAcentral describes it as "bacterial SSU rRNA". It matches the Rfam family "Bacterial small subunit ribosomal RNA", at positions 335 to 863 of the family's 1533-position model. The record is from RNAcentral.